GACUUCUGGUUUAAUGCACCUGGCCCGCGGCCCACAAGGCCUGUGAGUGCCGGCGCGCGUUUACCAUCCUUCCAGCAACGGCUACCCUUAACUGGGCGGCUGGAACUGGAUCUUUUACUUUGAAAAAAUUAGAGUGUUUAAAGCAGGCGUUUGCUCUGAAUACAUUAGCAUGGAAUAAUAAUCUAGGACUUCGGUUCUAUUUUGUUGGUUUCGAGAACUGAAGUAAUGAUUGAUAGGGAUAGUUGGGGGUGCUAGUAUUAUUGGCCGGUCAGAGGUGAAAUUCUUGGAUUCGGUCAAGACUAACUUAUGCGAAAGCAUU
Molecule: ribosomal RNA, 319 nt
Filed under: uncultured Cercozoa
Lineage: Eukaryota; Cercozoa
Description: SSU rRNA
Rfam family: Eukaryotic small subunit ribosomal RNA (bases 97-319)
Source: RNAcentral